This 474-nucleotide ribosomal RNA is filed under the name uncultured bacterium. Its description in RNAcentral is "bacterial SSU rRNA". It matches the Rfam family "Bacterial small subunit ribosomal RNA", at positions 34 to 507 of the family's 1533-position model. The record is from RNAcentral.
CGCUGGCGGCGUGCCUAACACAUGCAAGUCAACUUGACUGAAGGAGCAAUCUGACAGUAGAGUGGCGCAAGGGUGCGUAACGCGUAAGUAACUUGCCCCAAGGUAAGGAAUAACGUCGAGAAAUCGGCGCUAAUACCUCAUAAUGCAGCGGAUCCGCAUGGAUAUGUUGUUAAAGGUUUACCGCCUUGGGAUAGGCUUGCGUCUGAUUAGCUAGUUGGUGUGGUAACUGCACACCAAGGCUACGAUCAGUAACUGGUCUGAGAGGAUGAUCAGUCACACUGGAACUGAGACACGGUCCAGACUCCUACGGGAGGCAGCAGUGAGGAAUAUUGGGCAAUGCUCGAAAGAGUGACCCAGCAACGCCGCGUGGAGGAUGAAGGUAUUCUAUAUCGUAAACUCCUGUGAGAGCAGACGAAAGACAGAUUAUUAAUCUGGAUGACUGUAUGCUCAGAGGAAGCCCCGGCUAACUACGUG